CGUUCCCGGGCCUUGUACACACCGCCCGUCACGUCACGAAAGUCGGUAACACCCGAAGCCGGUGGCCCAACCCCCUUGUGGGAGGGAGCUGUCGAAGGUGGGACUGGCGAUUGGGACG
RNAcentral lists this ribosomal RNA (118 nucleotides) under uncultured bacterium. Its description in RNAcentral is "partial 16S ribosomal RNA". It matches the Rfam family "Bacterial small subunit ribosomal RNA", at positions 1369 to 1482 of the family's 1533-position model. The record is from RNAcentral.